GAUGAACGCUGGCGGCGUGCCUAAUACAUGCAAGUCGAGCGAACGGACGAGAAGCUUGCUUCUCUGAUGUUAGCGGCGGACGGGUGAGUAACACGUGGAUAACCUACCUAUAAGACUGGGAUAACUUCGGGAAACCGGAGCUAAUACCGGAUAAUAUUUUGAACCGCAUGGUUCAAAAGUGAAAGACGGUCUUGCUGUCACUUAUAGAUGGAUCCGCGCUGCAUUAGCUAGUUGGUAAGGUAACGGCUUACCAAGGCAACGAUGCAUAGCCGACCUGAGAGGGUGAUCGGCCACACUGGAACUGAGACACGGUCCAGACUCCUACGGGAGGCAGCAGUAGGGAAUCUUCCGAAAUGGGCGAAAGCCUGACGGAGCAACGCCGCGUGAGUGAUGAAGGUCUUCGGAUCGUAAAACUCUGUUAUUAGGGAAGAACAUAUGUGUAAGUAACUGUGCACAUCUUGACGGUACCUAAUCAGAAAGCCACGGCUAACUACGUG
RNAcentral lists this ribosomal RNA (497 nucleotides) under uncultured bacterium. RNAcentral's name for it is "partial 16S ribosomal RNA". It matches the Rfam family "Bacterial small subunit ribosomal RNA", at positions 28 to 507 of the family's 1533-position model. The record is from RNAcentral.